This 164-nucleotide small nuclear RNA is filed under the name Pogona vitticeps (central bearded dragon). Its description in RNAcentral is "U1 spliceosomal RNA (ENSPVIG00000007785.1)". It matches the Rfam family "U1 spliceosomal RNA". From Rfam's summary of the family: U1 is a small nuclear RNA (snRNA) component of the spliceosome (involved in pre-mRNA splicing). Its 5' end forms complementary base pairs with the 5' splice junction, thus defining the 5' donor site of an intron. There are significant differences in sequence and secondary structure between metazoan and yeast U1 snRNAs, the latter being much longer (568 nucleotides as compared to 164 nucleotides in human). Lineage: Eukaryota; Metazoa; Chordata; Lepidosauria; Squamata; Agamidae. The record is from Rfam by way of RNAcentral.
ACUCAUACCUGGCAGGAGAGAUACCAUGAUCAUCAAAGUGGUUUUCCCAGGGUAAUCCUCAUCCAUUGCACGUUAGGUGUGUUGAUCCCUGUGAUUUCCCCAAAUGUGAGAAAAUCAACUGCCUCAUUUAUGGUAAUGGGGGACUGUGUUUGUGGUUUUCUCUA